RNAcentral lists this transfer RNA (68 nucleotides) under Marmota monax (woodchuck). RNAcentral describes it as "tRNA.Val". The record is from RNAcentral. Lineage: Eukaryota; Metazoa; Chordata; Mammalia; Rodentia; Sciuridae.
GGAUAGUGGCUCAGUGGCAGAGCGCUCGCCUAACAUGCAUGAGGUACUGGGUUCAAUCCUCAGCACCA